This 468-nucleotide ribosomal RNA is filed under the name uncultured bacterium. RNAcentral's name for it is "partial 16S ribosomal RNA". It matches the Rfam family "Bacterial small subunit ribosomal RNA", at positions 28 to 507 of the family's 1533-position model. The record is from RNAcentral.
GACGAACGCUGGCGGCGUGCUUAACACAUGCAAGUCGAACGGUGAAGCUCCAGCUUGCUGGAGUGGAUCAGUGGCGAACGGGUGAGUAACACGUGAGCAACCUGCCCCUGACUCUGGAAUAAGCGCUGGAAACGGCGUCUAAUACUGGAUACGAGAAGGGCCCGCAUGGGCACUUUCUGGAAAGUUUUUCGGUUGGGGAUGGGCUCGCGGCCUAUCAGCUUGCUGGUGAGGUACUGGCUCACCAAGGCGACGACGGGUAGCCGGCCUGAGAGGGCGACCGGCCACACUGGGACUGAGACACGGCCCAGACUCCUACGGGAGGCAGCAGUGGGGAAUAUUGCACAAUGGGCGAAAGCCUGAUGCAGCGACGCCGCGUGAGGGAUGACGGCCUUCGGGUUGUAAACCUCUUUCAGCAGGGAAGAAGCGAAAGUGACGGUACCUGCAGAAGAAGCACCGGCUAACUACGUG